RNAcentral lists this ribosomal RNA (650 nucleotides) under uncultured bacterium. RNAcentral's name for it is "bacterial SSU rRNA". It matches the Rfam family "Bacterial small subunit ribosomal RNA", at positions 57 to 695 of the family's 1533-position model. The record is from RNAcentral.
GCAGUCGAGCGGUUGAAGCCGUAUCGGGCUUUGGUAGCGGCGGACGGGUGAGUAACACGUAGGUAACCUGCCGAUCAGACUGGGAUAACUACCGGAAACGGUAGCUAAGACCGGAUACGUUUGCGAGAGGGCAUCCUGUUGCAAAGAAAAGCGGAGCAAUCUGCUACUGAUUGAUGGACCUGCGGCGCAUUAGCUAGUUGGUGAGGUAGCGGCUCACCAAGGCGACGAUGCGUAGCCGACCUGAGAGGGUGAACGGCCACACUGGGACUGAGACACGGCCCAGACUCCUACGGGAGGCAGCAGUAGGGAAUCUUCGGCAAUGGACGCAAGUCUGACCGAGCAACGCCGCGUGAGUGAUGAAGGUUUUCGGAUCGUAAAACUCUGUUGCCAGGGAAGAAUGAUCAGGCGAGUAACUGCGCUUGAUGUGACGGUACCUGAGAAGAAAGCCCCGGCUAACUACGUGCCAGCAGCCGCGGUAAUACGUAGGGGGCAAGCGUUGUCCGGAAUUAUUGGGCGUAAAGCGCGCGCAGGCGGUCAUUUAAGUCUGGUGUAUAAACCAAGGGCUCAACCUUUGGACGCAUUGGAAACUGGGUGACUGGAGUGUAGGAGAGGAAAGUGGAAUUCCACGUGUAGCGGUGAAAUGCGUAGAG